Molecule: long non-coding RNA, 727 nt
Organism: Passer domesticus (house sparrow)
Lineage: Eukaryota; Metazoa; Chordata; Aves; Passeriformes; Passeridae
Exons: 6
Source: RefSeq, a predicted model, not a curated record
UUUGGGGGGACCAGAUUGCUCUGCCAAACACCUGGAGCAGGAGCUGCCAACAAUUUGUCAUCUAUCCUGUGUUGCUCUCCAUUUAUCAGAAGCAUCUCUAGAGAGAACCCUGUUGUGCUGAACACUCUGUGUGUGGAGACAUGAGGCUUGACUCCAUUUCAGAAGCAUUGCCUGGCCCCAAGGGCAUCUGCACACAGCCAUUCCUGCUGCGUUUGCUGCUGCCUGAACACCAAAGCCUUUCUCAGGGAGCCCUGUGAAGUCCCGGGAGGAACAGCAGCCAUGAAGAUCCUGUUCCUGCUCUUCGCCCUGACCCUCCUGUUGGUCCAGGGUGAUGCAGCAAGUGCAGCUUCAUGCCGGUCAAAACGGGGAAUCUGCCUCAAACAUUAUUGCCCCAGUGGUUCAUAUCGUGUUGUGGGAAGAUGUUCACGAGGCUUUGCGUGCUGUAAAAGUCUGAGGGGUUGAAACCCUGAAACUGCCAAGCAGGACAUGACCCAUUUGCUUCUGGCUGCUGGAAAUCACCUCCUGAAGUCCCCAUGUGCUGAUGUCCCCAUGUGCUGAUGUCCCCUGCCCUCGCUGGCUGUGCCAUGCCCAGCUGGGCUGCCAGCAGCAGUGGCAGCUGCUCCUGCUGGCUGCUGCUGGGCUGGAGCCCUGUGGUGUCAGGGCCGGUGUCUUUGGGGCAGGGGCUGCUUUUCCCGGCUUGAAUAAAGAGCAGCACUUUGGCAUUGCA